This 208-nucleotide long non-coding RNA is filed under the name Dasypus novemcinctus (nine-banded armadillo). RNAcentral's name for it is "lncRNA (ENSDNOG00000052381.1)". Lineage: Eukaryota; Metazoa; Chordata; Mammalia; Cingulata; Dasypodidae. The record is from RNAcentral.
AAGUGCCACAACCUCUACUAACAAUAGAGGAGGUUUCAAGAUUUGUGGGCGACACCUGGCCAGCCAGCAGGACCCACACUAGGCUGCUCGAAGAAGAGGGGAUGUUUGACAGCGCCAGCCAGCAGGCAAGAGUGGCAACCAAGAGGAAAAUGCGCAGAUGCGCUCCCAAAGGAAGCAGAAUCCUGGCGCCCCCCAAAAGAAUGCCACU